AUUGAACGCUGGCGGCAGGCUUAACACAUGCAAGUCGAGCGGGGGAAGGUAGCUUGCUACCGGACCUAGCGGCGGACGGGUGAGUAAUGCUUAGGAAUCUGCCUAUUAGUGGGGGACAACAUCUCGAAAGGGAUGCUAAUACCGCAUACGUCCUACGGGAGAAAGCAGGGGAUCUUCGGACCUUGCGCUAAUAGAUGAGCCUAAGUCGGAUUAGCUAGUUGGUGGGGUAAAGGCCUACCAAGGCGACGAUCUGUAGCGGGUCUGAGAGGAUGAUCCGCCACACUGGGACUGAGACACGGCCCAGACUCCUACGGGAGGCAGCAGUGGGGAAUAUUGGACAAUGGGGGGAACCCUGAUCCAGCCAUGCCGCGUGUGUGAAGAAGGCCUUAUGGUUGUAAAGCACUUUAAGCGAGGAGGAGGCUACUUUAGUUAAUACCUAGAGAUAGUGGACGUUACUCGCAGAAUAAGCACCAGCUAACUCUGUGCCAGCAGCCGCGGUAAUACAGAGGGUGCGAGCGUUAAUCGGAUUUACUGGGCGUAAAGCGUGCGUAGGCGGCUUAUUAAGUCGGAUGUGAAAUCCCCGAGCUUAACUUGGGAAUUGCAUUCGAUACUGGUGAGCUAGAGUAUGGGAGAGGAUGGUAGAAUUCCAGGUGUAGCG
RNAcentral lists this ribosomal RNA (658 nucleotides) under Acinetobacter baumannii OIFC137. Its description in RNAcentral is "bacterial SSU rRNA". It matches the Rfam family "Bacterial small subunit ribosomal RNA", at positions 28 to 680 of the family's 1533-position model. Lineage: Bacteria; Pseudomonadati; Pseudomonadota; Gammaproteobacteria; Moraxellales; Moraxellaceae. The record is from RNAcentral.